UAGGGAAUCUUCGGCAAUGGGGGCAACCCUGACCGAGCAACGCCGCGUGAGUGAAGAAGGUUUUCGGAUCGUAAAGCUCUGUUGUAAGAGAAGAACGUGUGUGAGAGUGGAAAGUUCACACAGUGACGGUAACUUACCAGAAAGGGACGGCUAACUACGUGCCAGCAGCUGCGGUAAUACGUAGGUCCCGAGCGUUGUCCGGAUUUAUUGGGCGUAAAGCGAGCGCAGGCGGUUUAAUAAGUCUGAAGUUAAAGGCAGUGGCUUAACCAUUGUUCGCUUUGGAAACUGUUACACUUGAGUGCAGAAGGGGAGAGUGGAAUUCCAUGUGUAGCGGUGAAAUGCGUAGAUAUAUGGAGGAACACCGGUGGCGAAAGCGGCUCUCUGGUCUGUAGCUGACGCUGAGGCUCGAAAGCGUGGGGAGCAAACAGG
RNAcentral lists this ribosomal RNA (429 nucleotides) under bacterium. RNAcentral's name for it is "partial 16S ribosomal RNA". It matches the Rfam family "Bacterial small subunit ribosomal RNA", at positions 355 to 776 of the family's 1533-position model. The record is from RNAcentral.